RNAcentral lists this long non-coding RNA (1032 nucleotides) under Nicotiana benthamiana. RNAcentral describes it as "long non-coding RNA (NBEN_LNC004112)". The record is from RNAcentral. Lineage: Eukaryota; Viridiplantae; Streptophyta; Magnoliopsida; Solanales; Solanaceae.
AAAAAUAAUUCUGUCCAAUCCCAUGAACCCUUCAACCCUCUCUUCCUCAACCUUAGACACACAAAAACCCUAUAGACCAUAGCUACAUCUCCUUCUUCAACCUUGAACAACAAAAAACCCUAGAAAAAACACCAUAGCCGCCACCUCUGCUGCUUCUUCACCUCAUACCAAACGACCAGCAACCUUCUUUAACCAAAAACACUACCAUAUGCACAUAAGACCCUAAAGUCGCCGCUCAUCUUCACCACACUCACCGGAAAACAGCCACACAAUCACCUCUCUACCGUUUGCUCAACCAAAACGUGCUGAAAAAUUCGACAACCAGCGUCGUCACCCUCCAUCCCAGCUCGCCGGAACCAGCGUCACCUCCAUCUCCCUGAACCUAGCCAGCGACUCACUUUCUCCAUCUCCCAACAACACACUCAUGUAGAUAGGAGGAGAGAUUCAACCGCAUACUCUCAAACUCUCUCGAUUUCCUUACUCUCUUCUACUCUCACAUAGAGAGACAAGAUUCUUCAUGUUUUAGCCGGGGAGUCACGCCCAGAAAUGAGAUAGAAGAGGACGAACAGAGAGGGCCGAAAUUUCAAAGUUUUUGAUUGUUGAGUUUUAUUUUUAUAUUCUAAAAUCAGAAAUAUACAAAAAAUAAUAAUAUAAUUCUGCCUUCCUCUUUUCUAGUUUCGAAUUUUGGUUUCAACAUGGAGUUUAAUUGAAUACGAGGUGAAUUUGUUGUUUCAACUCGUUGUUUGAGGUUUUCAAUUAAUCUCCGGUUACGGUUCCAAUCAAAAUUAGCAGUCUCUACUCGACUUUGUUGUUGUUCUCUUCUAGGAUUUGGGGCCUUGUAUUUGUUUCAUUACUCAUUUAUUCAAGGAGAUCUUCUUAACUGUGGCGAAUAAAGUUUUAUUUGAACCGAUGUUGAUUCUGAUUCGAGUUCGAGGUUGCCAACGAGGUUUGCAGUUCAAGGUUCAGUCCUUGUUUUUAUUUUGGUCAGAUCUAGAUCACCAGAGUUUGUUGUAAUUGAAUUCAAUUAAUGGG